UUUCCAAAUGAGUAUUUAUUCUAGGCCAGUACAGAUUUUACCAUUGGAAAUGCAGCUUAAUCCCCAAUCUUGUGGAGGGGUUUGAUUAGAAGCUUGUGGAACACGCCUGGUGAAGUCGUGUAACAGUUCAUGAAUUUGGACUUCGGUGGACAAGCUGCUCCCAGGGCACGUGCAUUACCUUGAAUUGACUUGCCUGGGCCAGGACAGGGGUCCCCAACCACAGGUUUCCCCAGCGCCUCUCCGCCUUCAACAGUUCCUCUCUUAGGUCAAGAGGCUGAUGAUUUCUCUGGGAAGCAACACAGCCCUCCUGUUCUUGGUGACAAUGUUGCUUGAAGCCGGUCCUGCAGGUCAACACACACGGGCAGGGAUGACGUUUGAUGAAUAAGCAGGGGUGAGAGUCGGCUAAAGGUCGCCAGCCUCAGGCCUGUACGCACGACCUUGUCCCUUGGACAUGAGACAGGAAGCUACAUCGUGAGACAAGCAACUCCAAGCACAUUCACUCACUCACUCAUUCAUUCAGCCACUCAUUCACUGACUCACUGACUCACUGACUCACUCACAUUGUCACCUCCAGCCUCGAACGUGCUGCUCUCUCUCCCUGCAACGGUGGUUCUCAAAGUGAGGCUCUGGACCCACAGCAUCAGCACAACUGGAAACUCAUUAGAAACGUGACUCAUACACUUAGGGGCUGAGGCCCAACCAUCUGUGUUUUGACGAGCCCUCUGGCAGCCUUGGAUGAACUGCCUGCUUCACCAGGGCUCUCCUCCUGGAUCCGGCCAGGACGGCCCCCGUGCUCCUUUUCCAUGACACCCGUCACUCCCGUGCCUGCUUGUCUCCCAAGGUAAGUGGCGAGGAAGGAGCCCACACCCAGCACGGCAGGAGCACAACAAACGUGGAAUGGAGGGAGAUACGCAUGGGUGAAAGGGUGAGAGAAUCCGGGCUGUACUGAGCCUUUCCCGGGGUCAGAGCCAGGGUUUUGAAUGUGAACAAGGCGCAGUUCAUACCGUCAGGUUGCUCUCCGUCCGCUGCGGGAGGCAGAGAAGGAUUGGAUGGGGCCCUCGUGGAACACGGGGCCAGGGCCGACGGCUGUGGGAGCACCAGCUGACCCUUCCGUGUCCAGUGAUGUGUGCGCGGUGCCCAGACAGGCACUUCUAACCGCUUUCGUCGGGCGAGCCAAAACAACCAUUCUGGCUGUUGGAAGGUGUCCAGUGACAUAAGGCUGCUCCAGCCCCGGCCUCUGUGGUCAUGCCGGGCUGCCAUUGUCACCAGGGCACAUGGCUUCUGUCCGUCCUCACUGCUCUUUGUUUUGAAGUCCAUGCUUGGAUGGAUGAUUCCCAGAGCAGCUCCGAUCCAGUGUAAACAGGCCUUGUCUGCCAUGACAAUCUGGAGAAGUGGCCUAAAAAUAGGCCAGGAGGCUUGACUCAUGGAGGGGGGAGCACUUGGGGUCCAGAAUUCCCCUCUCUGGAGAUGACUUAUUUGGGCUGGUGGAAGAGGAGGAAGGUGACUGUCAUGCAGUGACUCAUCUGGGAACCCUUGGAGGCCUUUGAUUCCUCCCGGGCAGCUGACCUCCUGGCCUCGGGACACAUCUCCAGACCCACAGAGGGGACGGUAGCAGGGGCCGUGGGAGGACACAAUCCAGGGUGGGAAAGGCCGGGCGCUGACACAUCCUCUCCCCUACUCUUCUGGGCCAUGAGAAACGGUCCUGCCUCCACAGCCAGAGACCAUCACGGUCUGGCCAGUACUUACUUACUCAGCCUCCUCACAUCCCGGAGUCCGUGCUUGUGUCUGUCCCAAGCUGCUGAGGCUGCAGUGAGCCGGUGCUCACCCCAGAGGGACAACCUCAUCAGAACACACCCUUCUCCCUUUGCUCCUUCAUGAAAUGAGACUCUCGAUGAAGCCAGUGACAUCACAUGGAGACCAUAUGUGUGGGAAUCGAGGGCAGAGUCUAGUCUUCUGGAAUGUGUAAACACCCUGGGUUUUUAAGGACGAGCUGCCAGACCCCGUGUGUCGGAGGCUCCUGCUUUCGGGCAAUGGCUGGCGUCCUGGCCGGGGAAACCAGGCUGACCCUUUUGGCAAGAUCCGACCAUCACUACGCUGCUGGGGACCCUGGCCUCAGUGCCACUGGCCACACUCGAAGUUCAGAUCCAUCUGUUAUGAACUGAGCCCUGGCCCCCCAAAAUGUGUCAAAAUCCUAAUUUCUAGAACCCCAGAAUGUGACCACAUUUGGAGCGACAUCGGGACACAGGCACGCACAGAAGGACGACCACGGGAGGUCAUGGGGAGGAGUGGCCAUCGGCAAGCCAAGGAGACAGGCCUGGGGAGGAACCAGCCCUGUCUGGUUCCACACCUUGAUCCCAGCUUUCAGGACUGGGAGAGAAUAAACAUCUGUGGUU
Molecule: long non-coding RNA, 2393 nt
Organism: Leopardus geoffroyi (Geoffroy's cat)
Lineage: Eukaryota; Metazoa; Chordata; Mammalia; Carnivora; Felidae
Exons: 3
Source: RefSeq, a predicted model, not a curated record